GCUCGCUCCUCCUCCUCCUCUAAUGGCCCAGAAAAGAUCUUCUCCCAUGGAUUUUCUGUCCAGAAUUCUUCCAUUAACAUCAACUAUCUUCGCAUCAAUGACAGUAUCAGCUGCUAAUCCGUACUUUCGGAAUAUGGUCCCGAAUCCUCCUCCACUAAUGUGUCCCCCAACACCUACAGUCGGACAGCUACCAGCUGGGAAGCCAUAGACAUUGCUUUUCUCUGCAAUUUUAUAAUAGAACUCUCCUAGAGUUGCACCA
RNAcentral lists this unclassified non-coding RNA (259 nucleotides) under Hevea brasiliensis (rubber tree). The record is from RNAcentral. Lineage: Eukaryota; Viridiplantae; Streptophyta; Magnoliopsida; Malpighiales; Euphorbiaceae.